GGUUCGACAAUCCGACGAAUGUAUGCAAAGUUAUUGACAAAAACGUCGUUUUUCGUACAGAUAGCCGCAGCACGCGGACUAGGGCUUCAAAAAUUUCAAGAAAUUCACCGUAGCAUCCUUGUAACCAUCUAAGGUGGGUGGUGCAUUCCAAGGACAUCGGAAAUCCCUUUAUGUCUAAAGCGUCAUAUUUGAGCAUAUGUACUUAUAUUGAGCAUGUUGCAUAGUAGGGUUAAUUGUAAAUUUCUAUUGCAUGACAUGAGUUUUAAUGCUUGAGAAAUAGUAGUAAAUGAAUGAGAAUUGGUAACCCUAUAUAUGCAUGACAUGGGACAAGAACCUAGAAGGGUUAGUAAAUAAAUGUGACAUGUUGACGUAGACAUAGAGUGUGGCAUGAGUACAAGAACAUAGCACCUAGAAAACAAGUGUGGCACCAAUGACAAAGAACAAGAACAAGUCGUGUACAUGACACUAGUAGAGGUUAGAGAAUGCAAGUGAAUUCGGUUAGUGACAUUAUGACAAAUGCACCUUAGAGUUAAGGGUCAUAUGAACAUGGUUCUCCUUGGAGUCAGGGAAUGGAUUGAACUUGGAAUCCUUAAAGUUAAGGAUUGAUCGUACUCACCUAAUAGUCCUUGCUCGAGGGCGGUAGCUCCCCCUCGGGCGAUGUGCUCCGGAGUUGUCAUCACUGGGUCGUAGCGGUUAUCUCCCCAGAGGGCGGUCCCGUCGGGUCGUAGCGGUUAUCUCCCCGACUAUAGGGAUUUGGGUUGGUGAGUUUGUGAGGGCGAAACCUACGGGCUAGCCAUGAGAUUGGGUAAUGAAAAGUUAAUCUUGCAUUCAUCAUGAGCAUUCUAUCGAGCAUAGUUUUAUUUAUCGUUCAGGCAUAUUAGCUGCAUUUGUUAGUUGGUUAUUAUCUAUUCUUUCUUCUAUUAUGCCUGAUUAGACCUAGUGGGAUAGUCGGCGUGGUUGGUUGCCGAACCCACUGGGAACUUUGUUGUAGUUCUCACCCCACUAUUUCCACAGAGCCGGGACCGAGCGAGCCGGCAGAUGAUCGCGGUAAGGGCAUCGCGCCCUAGGUAGAGACCGCCCGAGAUGGAUUUCAUUUUGUAGUUGCACACCCUUUACUAUCAUCUUUUGUAUUUGAUGAUUUUAGUAUUAUGAACUUGCUUUAAUGAAUGAUGUAAAGAAUAUUUACUUUAAAUGUCAAAAGUUAUAUUUUGGGAGAAAUGAGAUGUAAAAAGAAAUGAUGCAAGAAUGUGACAGAACUUGAUUAUAGUUGGAUACAUGUAUGUGAUUUAAAUUUAGUCAUAUUACUUGUAUAUUGAAUGGUUAAUUCUUUCACCUUGGCUAUUGCUUGCCCUCGUGCAAGCCAUUGUGUAUGCUUCCGCUUAUGCAAAUUUGUACUCUAUUGAUACUUGUGUUGGGCCUUGGGCAGACAGGGGAAGCUCUGUCCGUUUGGCGUCUGUUUGACGCU
RNAcentral lists this long non-coding RNA (1465 nucleotides) under Ananas comosus (pineapple). RNAcentral describes it as "long non-coding RNA (ACOM_LNC008751)". The record is from RNAcentral. Lineage: Eukaryota; Viridiplantae; Streptophyta; Magnoliopsida; Poales; Bromeliaceae.